RNAcentral lists this ribosomal RNA (369 nucleotides) under uncultured bacterium. RNAcentral describes it as "bacterial SSU rRNA". It matches the Rfam family "Bacterial small subunit ribosomal RNA", at positions 527 to 898 of the family's 1533-position model. The record is from RNAcentral.
GGAGGGUGCGAGCGUUGUCCGGAUUUAUUGGGUUUAAAGGGUGCGUAGGUGGCCUGUUAAGUCAGUGGUGAAAUACGGUUGCUCAACAAUCGAGGUGCCAUUGAUACUGACCGGCUUGAAAUAAUUGGAGGCUGCCGGAAUGGAUGGUGUAGCGGUGAAAUGCAUAGAUAUCAUCCAGAACACCGAUUGCGAAGGCAGGUGGCUACGAUUGGUUUGACACUGAGGCACGAAAGCAUGGGGAGCAAACAGGAUUAGAUACCCUGGUAGUCCAUGCUGUAAACGAUGAGGACUCGUUGUUUGGCUGUAAAGCUGAGCGACUUAGGGAAACCGUUAAGUCCUCCACCUGGGGAGUACGCCGGCAACGGUGAA